UUAAGUUCAGCGGGUAUUCCUACCUGAUCCGAGGUCAACCUUGGUGCCGCCGGAGCGGACUUGUGGGGGGUUUAGAGGCAGGACGCCGAGGGAUCCCAAUGCGAGGCUGAUGCUACUGCGCAAAGGAGAGGGCCUUCGGGUCCGCCACUGGUUUUAGGGGCCUGCCGUGGCAGAUCCCCAACGCCGGGCCACGGGGGCUC
This 200-nucleotide unclassified non-coding RNA is filed under the name Sordariomycetes sp. RNAcentral describes it as "partial internal transcribed spacer 2". The record is from RNAcentral. Lineage: Eukaryota; Fungi; Ascomycota; Sordariomycetes.